AUUGAACGCUGGCGGCAGGCCUAACACAUGCAAGUCGAGCGGAUGAAGGGAGCUUGCUCCUGGAUUCAGCGGCGGACGGGUGAGUAAUGCCUAGGAAUCUGCCUGGUAGUGGGGGAUAACGUCCGGAAACGGGCGCUAAUACCGCAUACGUCCUGAGGGAGAAAGUGGGGGAUCUUCGGACCUCACGCUAUCAGAUGAGCCUAGGUCGGAUUAGCUAGUUGGUGGGGUAAAGGCCUACCAAGGCGACGAUCCGUAACUGGUCUGAGAGGAUGAUCAGUCAAACUGGAACUGAGACACGGUCCAGACUCCUACGGGAGGCAGCAGUGGGGAAUAUUGGACACUGGGCGAAAGCCUGAUCCAGCCAUGCCGCGUGUGUGAAGAAGGUCUUCGGAUUGUAAAGCACUUUAAGUUGGGAGGAAGAGCAGUAAGUUAAUACCUUGCUGUUUUGACGUUACCAACAGAAUAAGCACCGGCUAACUUCGUG
RNAcentral lists this ribosomal RNA (484 nucleotides) under uncultured bacterium. RNAcentral describes it as "partial 16S ribosomal RNA". It matches the Rfam family "Bacterial small subunit ribosomal RNA", at positions 30 to 507 of the family's 1533-position model. The record is from RNAcentral.